UACGUAGGGUGCAAGCGUUAUCCGGAAUUAUUGGGCGUAAAGAGCUCGUAGGCGGUUUGUCGCGUCUGCUGUGAAAACCGGAGGCUCAACCUCCGGCCUGCAGUGGGUACGGGCAGACUAGAGUGCGGUAGGGGAGAUUGGAAUUCCUGGUGUAGCGGUGGAAUGCGCAGAUAUCAGGAAGAACACCAACGGCGAAGGCAGCUCGCUGGGACGGUACUGACGCUGAGACGCGAAAGCGUGGGGAGCGAACAGG
RNAcentral lists this ribosomal RNA (253 nucleotides) under uncultured bacterium. Its description in RNAcentral is "partial 16S ribosomal RNA". It matches the Rfam family "Bacterial small subunit ribosomal RNA", at positions 524 to 776 of the family's 1533-position model. The record is from RNAcentral.